CACCACACUUGGGAGUGUGUGUCCAGGGGGGGGUCACCCCGAACACCUGGUACAUGUGCAUGUUAAACACCACACUUGGGAGUGUGUGUCCAGGGGGGGUCACCCCGAACACCUGGUACAUGUGCAUGUUAAACACCACACUUGGGAGUGUGUCCAGGGGGGGGGUCACCCCGAACACCUGGUACAUGUGCAUGUUAAACACCACACUUGGGAGUGUAUGUCCAGGGGGGGACAAUGUAGGUGGUCAUUAAGGGUUUGAGUCAGGUCGGAGAGUAUAAGAAAAAAGGAAAAUAAUUGUGUGGAAUGAUGACAGUGAAAAGCAAAGUCAAGAUGAAUAAGCCAGGUUCAGGAAAAGGGAUGACCUAUCUCAAAUGUGUGUGUGUGUGUGUGCACGCACGUCUGUGUGUUGUGUGUGUGUGUGUGUGUGCAUCUGCCUGUGUAUGUAUAACUGUAAACUAUGUGUUUGAGGUCCUAGAUAAUGCCUGAUAAUGCAAUCAGAACCAUGCCUCCGAUUUUUACUAAUAGAACACACAUGUCACGUUAACAGGAACAUUGUCAGUUUUAUAGCAACAUUAUCUGGAUACUGAAGUAGAUAAUAAUUUCCCUGAUAUAUAGACGAUAUUACACAAAUCGCAUGGGUGUCUAAAACAAUGAUAACCGUGACAAUGUUUUAUGUGAAGUGAUGGAUUUUGUGGAAGCCCUGAACCUAAAGCCCUAUCUAUCCCUUGUCCUCUCUCUCCCCGUCUCGUCCUUUCUCUCCCCGUCUCGUCCUCUCUCUCCCUGUCUCGUCCUCUCUCUCUCCGUCUCGUCCUCUCUCUCUCCGUCUCC
Molecule: long non-coding RNA, 828 nt
Organism: Oncorhynchus tshawytscha (Chinook salmon)
Lineage: Eukaryota; Metazoa; Chordata; Actinopteri; Salmoniformes; Salmonidae
Exons: 3
Source: RefSeq, a predicted model, not a curated record